GAAGGGCCCAAGCGUUGCGCAGAAUCACUGGGCUUAAAGGGUGCGUAGGCGGACCCGCAAGUGCUUUGUGAAAUCCCACGGGCUCAACCGUGGAAUGGCUUGGCAUACUGCGGGUCUUGAGGUCGGCAGAGGUCGCCGGAACUCUAGGUGUAGCGGUGAAAUGCGUAGAUAUCUAGAGGAACGCCCAAGGCGAAGGCAGGCGGCUGGGCCGAUUCUGACGCUGAGGCACGAAAGCGUGGGUAGCGAACGGGAUUAGAUACCCCGGUAGUCCACGCCCUAAACGAUGUGCACUAGAUCGUGGUGGCUCUGACGCCGGCACGGCCGAAGCAAAAGUAAUAAGUGCACCGCCUGGGGAGUACGGUCGCAAAGGCUA
This 373-nucleotide ribosomal RNA is filed under the name uncultured organism. Its description in RNAcentral is "partial 16S ribosomal RNA". It matches the Rfam family "Bacterial small subunit ribosomal RNA", at positions 527 to 896 of the family's 1533-position model. The record is from RNAcentral.